AAAAAGACAAACACUGAGUUUUCGUGUUCAAUAUUUGACCGUCCGUCUUAUAUGGAAUUUUUUAUAAUUAGUAUUUUCAUUGUUGUUAGAUGAUAAAAUAUAAUUAAUAUUUUAUGCAUAACUUAUCUUUUUAAUUUUUUUUAUAUAAGAUAGAUGGUCAAACGUUAGACACGAAAAUCUAGAGUUUAUCUUUUU
Molecule: microRNA precursor, 195 nt
Filed under: Oryza sativa Indica Group (long-grained rice)
Lineage: Eukaryota; Viridiplantae; Streptophyta; Magnoliopsida; Poales; Poaceae
Description: MIR812 microRNA precursor family
Rfam family: MIR812 microRNA precursor family
Source: Rfam by way of RNAcentral